CAUUCUCUCAUACCACUCAAAGUGUUGACACCCCACUGUGAGUUAUACUCUCGGGAGGGAUGGCCUGCUCUGGCCACCAGAAGGAUCAGUCAUUGGUGUACUUUUAUAU
Thalassophryne amazonica is the source of this 109-nucleotide long non-coding RNA. RefSeq lists it as uncharacterized. The record is from RefSeq and is a predicted model, not a curated record. The transcript is spliced from 3 exons. Lineage: Eukaryota; Metazoa; Chordata; Actinopteri; Batrachoidiformes; Batrachoididae.